Molecule: ribosomal RNA, 264 nt
Filed under: uncultured Prevotella sp.
Lineage: Bacteria; Pseudomonadati; Bacteroidota; Bacteroidia; Bacteroidales; Prevotellaceae
Description: partial 16S ribosomal RNA
Rfam family: Bacterial small subunit ribosomal RNA
Source: RNAcentral
CGACCGGCGCACGGGUGAGUAACGCGUAUCCAACCUGCCCUUUACUUGGGGAUAACCCGUUGAAAGACGGACUAAUACCCAAUGAUAUUCAUUGAUGACAUCUGAUUUGAAUUAAAGAUUUAUCGGUAUAGGAUGGGGAUGCGUCUGAUUAGCUUGUUGGUGAGGUAACGGCUCACCAAGGCCACGAUCAGUAGGGGUUCUGAGAGGAAGGUCCCCCACAUUGGAACUGAGACACGGCCCAAACUCCUACGGGAGGCAGCAGCA